Arachis stenosperma is the source of this 86-nucleotide small nucleolar RNA. RefSeq annotates it as small nucleolar RNA R38. The transcript has a single exon. NCBI's taxonomy places the organism in Eukaryota, Viridiplantae, Streptophyta, Magnoliopsida, Fabales, Fabaceae. The record is from RefSeq and is a predicted model, not a curated record.
GUGCUGUGAUGAUGAGAAAUAUAAUUUUACAGUUAUCCCUAGCUAAUAAUAUAGCAGGUGAUGAAAUUUUGUAAUCUGACAUGCAC